GAAAAUGGAAUAUUAGACUGAAUUUACUGUUGGUUUAGUGGACUUUUAGAUCUUCCCGGACAGGAUCUCAUGCAACCCAGGGUGGCCUUGAACUUGUAGCUGAGGAUGACCUUGAGCUACUGAUCCUCCUGCCUCAACUACCAAUGCUAGGAUUAUAGUCAUACACCACUACGCUGGAUUAGAAGUGAUUUCUUCAAACACAAAGAGCAAAUGGCAUCGUGAGAAACGCUAAUCAGUAAAAAGGGCUGAUCACAUGCUGGAAUGAGGACCCAAGUUCAACCCCCAGAGCCUAUAUGCAGUGGUUUGAAUGAGAAUGGCUCAUAGAUUUGAACUUUUGGUCACCAGGGAGUGGCACUAUUUGAGAAGAUUCGGAGGUGUGUCCUUGUUGGAGGAAGUGUGUCACUAGGGGUGGGCUUUGAGGUUUACAAAAGUCCAACCCAGGCCCAGUGGCUCUCUCUUCCUGCUGCAUGCAAAUCCAGAUGUAGAACUCUCAGAUGCUUUUCCACACCAUGGCUGUCUGCAUGCCGCCAUGCUUCCUGCCAUGAUGAUAAUGGACUAAACCUCUGAAACUAUAAGCCAGUCCAAUUAAAUGCUUUCUUCUACAAGAGUCGCCAUGGUCCUGGUGUCUCUUCACAGCAAUAGAACACUAAGUGUUGUGUGAUAUUUUGAUCGCAUUCUGAUCCUCCCAAGACUGUCAAUAAAGUUUGUUUUGAACCAGAAGGGGGAGCUGGGAUUAGAGUUUAGUUGGUAGAGUUUACGGAGCAUGCAUGAACCCAGGGUUUGAUCCUAAGUACUGCACAGACCAGGUGUGGUGGUCCAAGCCUAUCAUCUCAGCAUUUGGGAGGUCGAAGAAGGAAGACCAGAAGUUGAAGGGCGUCUUCAAUUACAUUGGGAAUUCAAGGCUAGCCUGAAACCCAGGAGAUUCUAAAAAUAAACAACCUGUCACCCCAAAAUCCAGACCAAAUAAAAGUUGGAAUCUAAAAUGUAAAAAGUCAACAUCUAGCCGGGCGGUGGUGGCGCACGCCUUUAAUCCCAGCACUUGGGAGGCAGAGCCAGGCGGAUCUCUGUGAGUUCAAGGCCACCCUGGGCUACCAAGUGAGUUCCAGGAAAAGGCGCAAAGCUACACAGAGAAACCCUGUCUCGAAAAACCAAAAAAAAAAAAAAAAAAAAAAAGUCAACAUCUAAACAAAAGCAGCCAAGAGUGAUACUUCUUGGGGACAGAAGCAACCCUUACUUUGGAGUCUUCAUCAAUAGGAUGGCAAAUAUUGUUGACCAGCUCCGUUAUGACUGGGUCAGGCCUGGAACCAUCCACACAGUAUCACGGCAACCUCACAGUUCUGCAUGGCAGACAUUAUUAUUUCCAUUUUACUGACUGAAAGUCAAGUUCAGCCGGGCGGUGGUGGAUUUAGUCUUAGCACUCAGGAGGGAGAGGUAGAUGGAUCUCUGAGUUCAAGGCCAGCUUGGUCUACAGAGUGAGUUCCAGGAUGGCCAGUGCUACACAGAGAAACCCUGUCUUGAAAAACCAAAAACCAAAACAAAACGAAAGUUAGGUUCAGAAGAAUUAAGAGUGCUUUCCCUGGUCAGGGGUGGUACUUGGGAGGCUGAAGGAUCAAGGUUGACUUUGAACUACAUGCUGUAUUCAGGGCCAGCCAGGGCUAUAGAGUGAGAGGCUAACUUAGAAAUAAAUACACAAAUAAAUUAAGUAACACAAAUGUCUCAAAGUUGAACAUGGUAGCAUGUCCCUGAAGUACCAGCCACUUGAGGAGCCAAGGGAGGAGAAUCCUUUGAUGACAGGAGUUUGGGGCCAGCCUGAGAAAUACAGAAAGACCGGUCUUUAAAACCAAAUCAGGGGCUGGAGAGAUGGCUCGGAGGUUAAGAGCACUGACUGCUCUUUCAGAGGUCCUGAGUUCAAUUCCCAGCACCCACAUGGUGGCUCACAACCAUCAAUAAUGAGAUCUGGUGCCCUCUUCUGGCCUGCAGGUGUAUAUGCAGACAGAGCACUGUAUGCAUAAUAAAUAAGUAAAUCUUAAAAAAAUAUAAAUAAGCUGGGUGGUGCCACAAGCCUUUAAUCUCAGCACUCGGGAGGCAGAGGCAGGUGGAUCUCUGUGAGUUCGAGGCCAGCCUGGUCUACAGAGUGAGUUCCAAGACAGGCUCCAAAGCUACACAGAGAAACCCUGUCUCGAAAAACAUA
Molecule: long non-coding RNA, 2191 nt
Organism: Peromyscus californicus insignis
Lineage: Eukaryota; Metazoa; Chordata; Mammalia; Rodentia; Cricetidae
Exons: 2
Source: RefSeq, a predicted model, not a curated record